Macrosteles quadrilineatus (aster leafhopper) is the source of this 903-nucleotide long non-coding RNA. RefSeq lists it as uncharacterized. Lineage: Eukaryota; Metazoa; Arthropoda; Insecta; Hemiptera; Cicadellidae. The transcript has 3 exons. The record is from RefSeq and is a predicted model, not a curated record.
UUUAUACCGUAUUUUGAGGAAAAGGUCUGAUACUUCAGAAAACAGCACAAUCCUAGAAAUUCGUAAGUUUCUGGUCAACAUCAGAUCCAGGAACAUUACGUUGAAUGGUUGGGACUUUUUCUACGUUUCCAAAGCCAUAUUUUACGGAGUGGUUUCACAGAUUGUUUCUUAUAUAAUUUUGCUAAUUCAGUUCAAAAUAUUUCAGUAGUUGUAGAUUUACAAGAAAACUAAACUAGUGACGAUUUAUGUACCAAAAAUAAUCUGUUGUAUUUUUUUAUAACAUCAUUCGUGAAAUAUUUGUAUUAUUCUACUCUUAUAAUUUGAAAGCUAAUAACAAUUAUAAAUGAUAAACCAUAAAUUGUAUAAUAGUUACAACUUUAAAAAUAGUUAGCAAUAUAUUUGUAAGGUAGUCCACGAAAACAAGUGGGUAGCUUGUUGAAGAAAAUAUGUUGGAUGUAAAAAUGGCUUUUUAAAGUUUUUGAAAGUCUGAUUUGAGGUGUGACUAGGUUGUUUUUGUGCCUCGUGUUGUAUGGAUGAGAAUAGCUAGAAAAUUGUAAGGGGUUGUUUUUUUUUUAAUUAAAUUAUAAAGAAUGUUCAUAGAUGGCAGUGUAAGCAAAUUUAAAUUGGAAAAGUGAUCCCUACAGGAUUCAUGAUCUUGCAAUCCUAGCAUGGCUCUAAGAGCUUUCUUUUGCCAAACAAAUGCUUUCUGAGCCAAAUGUGAACCACCCCAGAGACGCAAACCAUAAAGCAGCUGUAAGUGAAACAAACCGUAGUAAGUCAUUACCAAAGUGUUAAAACUCACACAUGAUUUAAGUUUUCUCAAGAGACAGGUUAUUCUAGCCAAUCUUUUACAAAGUUGUGUAAUGUGGUUAUCCCAGCUUAGUCUGUUGUCAAGAUGGAUGC